GGCGGCGUAGUCAAGUGGUAUGUUGCUUGACUACUGAUCAAAAAGUCAUUGGUUCAAGCCCUUGAUGGGGCCU
Non-coding RNA from Gymnothorax javanicus (giant moray), 73 nucleotides. The record is from the annotation of a GenBank genome assembly. Lineage: Eukaryota; Metazoa; Chordata; Actinopteri; Anguilliformes; Muraenidae.